Molecule: ribosomal RNA, 253 nt
Filed under: uncultured bacterium
Lineage: Bacteria
Description: partial 16S ribosomal RNA
Rfam family: Bacterial small subunit ribosomal RNA
Source: RNAcentral
UACGGAGGGUGCGAGCGUUAAUCGGAAUUACUGGGCGUAAAGGGUGUGUAGGUGGUUAAUUAAGUUAUCUGUGAAAGUCCUGGGCUCAACCUGGGAAGGUCAGAUAAGACUGAUAGACUUGAGUAUAGGAGAGGGUAGUGGAAUUUCCGGUGUAGCGGUGAAAUGCGUAGAGAUCGGAAGGAACACCAGUGGCGAAGGCGGCUACCUGGCCUAAUACUGACACUGAGGCACGAAAGCGUGGGGAGCAAACAGG